CCUACGGGAGGCAGCAGUAGGGAAUUUUGCGCAAUGGGCGAAAGCCUGACGCAGCAACGCCGCGUGAUCGAGACGCCCUUCGGGGUGUAAAGAUCUGUCAGUGGGGACGAAACUUGACGGUACCCACAGAGGAAGCACCGGCUAACUCCGUGCCAGCAGACGCGGUAAUACGGGGGGUGCAAGCGUUGUCCGGAAUCAUUGGGCGGAACGGGUUCGUAGGCUGCACGUAAAGGCCGGUGUUAAAGGCAGAGGCUCAACUUCGGUAAUGCAUUGGAUACUUGCGAGCUAGAAUGCGGUGGAGGUACAGUGAAUGCCUGGUGUAUCCGUGAAAUACUGAGAUUGCAUGACGAACAUCGGUG
RNAcentral lists this ribosomal RNA (359 nucleotides) under uncultured bacterium. Its description in RNAcentral is "partial 16S ribosomal RNA". It matches the Rfam family "Bacterial small subunit ribosomal RNA", at positions 338 to 717 of the family's 1533-position model. The record is from RNAcentral.